Sycon ciliatum is the source of this 1675-nucleotide long non-coding RNA. RefSeq lists it as uncharacterized. The transcript is spliced from 2 exons. Lineage: Eukaryota; Metazoa; Porifera; Calcarea; Leucosolenida; Sycettidae. The record is from RefSeq and is a predicted model, not a curated record.
CGCAGCUCGCCGCAUACGUAAAUUGCUUUCAUUUUAAUAAAAAAUAGUGAUUGGUUGCUUACGAAGAGUAUUUAUAUUGUGUAUACAUGUAGCCAUUACACUCUCUCUGGUGUUGGUCACCGGGAAGAAAUCCCUGUAGGUGGUGUUUUCUCAAAGUCAUCAAUUAUUAUUUUUCUAUACAAUUAUGAGAGAAUCUUGAUCUAGAGUUCGUGGAGGUGAUGCUGCCCACAUCUAUUCUGAGGAGAUGCUGUGCCAGAUAUAGUGUUAUUCAUCUGACCAGGAGCAGGUUGGCAAGAACUCGGAUAUGUGUUCGUUCCAGAAGUUUUGCAGCUGGAAACCCAGCCACAGCCGAAGAAUUUUUCAGGAGACAGAACGUGGACUACAUCAAAAAUGUACAGGAGUUCAUCACAGAGCACAGUUUCUUCGCAAACACCGGUCGACGUACGCCACAGGAGCUAGUGGUUGAAGCUGUUAGAAUUGCUUACACAUCAGCAGACCUGACUGAGAGAUUAGGUAACUUAGCAGAGACAUGUAUCGGCUUCUUACACAUUGGUACUUUCUCCACCACACAACUACUCUACCUAUUUGAGCAUGCCAAGUUACCAUCCAUGAUCAAUGCUGACAUCUUGGAAGAGCUGCAUAGGCGCAACCUACUUGCUGAUGAGUUGGUGUGCGCGUUCGGUGGCAGUGUAGCUGGCAAACACAUUGUCCGUGCACUGGACUUCUGGAGAUUAAUUUGUUCCAAACGCCACGAACUCAGUGCUGUUGACAAGAUGACGCUGAGAAAGUGGUUUCUGCACCCAAACAGCAACUUGAUCCGUCAACAGUGUAUUCAGAUUGGCCGAGAAGAGGAGACGCAUGGCAACGUUGCAGCUCGGAGGCAAGAUGCUGGAAAGAGGUGGCGUGUCAACUUUAACAUGGAAGACUUGGAUAUAUUCAGCAAAGGCACAGGUGUAUAAGCCACUCUGGCACCGUGUGGGUAUAUGUGCGUUGUCCUUCUUCUGAUGGCACCAUGAGACUUCUAGUGGAGUGUGUACAAUGCUUUGAUACCAUUCUAUCAUUUGGUUCCCAUUUUGGAGUCCUUCAAGUGGGCAUUUCAUUUCAUAUACUUCAAAAGAAGUAUAAUUUAUUUUUUAUUACAGUCGUCCCUCUCUAAUCCGGCGCCUUUUGCAACGGCAUUUUCUGCUGGAUAAACAAGGGUGCUGGAUUAUCAAAUCCUGCCCUCCAACCCGGCCCACCUAUUAACAUACAUGUUAGUGUCGUACGUCAAAACGUAGGGAUAUUCUGUGUCAAUCCAAGUGCUUUGUGGAAUGCAUGCCUUUAACAUACACUUGCCGGGAAUAUCCUAUGCACUGGCAUAGGAUAUUCCCAAGUGUAUGUUACAAUGCUCCUUGACAGUAUGCGAUGUACAACUGCUGGAUUAGAAAAUCGAAUUAUGUACAGUUUGAGUGAUUUGUUGCAGAAAAUCGCUGCUGGAGGCGGAAUUCAAAGGGACGACUGUAUCUGCUUUUAUACUCUUUUCUAAUCACUGAUGGCAGUAAUGCUAUUUUUGGGUGCGAUAUUGACAACGUUCGGCUUUAUAAGGCAGCAUGGAGUGUAGACGUGCACAACUACAAGACUGCACCUCCGAGAAAUAUGCUAUGCGUUGGCAAGUAUGAUCUGCAUGGUCAACAUA